This 425-nucleotide ribosomal RNA is filed under the name uncultured bacterium. Its description in RNAcentral is "bacterial SSU rRNA". It matches the Rfam family "Bacterial small subunit ribosomal RNA", at positions 337 to 779 of the family's 1533-position model. The record is from RNAcentral.
UCCUACGGGAGGCAGCAGUAGGGAAUAUUGCUCAAUGGGGGAAACCCUGAAGCAGCAACGCCGCGUGGAGGAUGAAGGUUUUAGGAUUGUAAACUCCUUUUGUUAGAGAAGAUUAUGACGGUAUCUAACGAAUAAGCACCGGCUAACUCCGUGCCAGCAGCCGCGGUAAUACGGAGGGUGCAUGCGUUACUCGGAAUCACUGGGCGUAAAGAGUGCGUAGGCGGGGUAAUAAGUCACAUGUGAAAUCCUGUAGCUUAACUACAGAACUGCAUUUGAAACUGUUACUCUGGAGUGUGGGAGAGGUAGGUGGAAUUCUUGGUGUAGGGGUAAAAUCCGUAGAGAUCAAGAGGAAUACUCAUUGCGAAGGCGACCUGCUGGAACAUUACUGACGCUGAUGCACGAAAGCGUGGGGAGCAAACAGGAUU